AGGAUGAACGCUGGCGGCGUGCCUAAUACAUGCAAGUAGAACGCUGAAGCUUGGUGCUUGCACCGAGCGGAUGAGUUGCGAACGGGUGAGUAACGCGUAGGUAACCUGCCUCUUAGCGGGGGAUAACUAUUGGAAACGAUAGCUAAUACCGCAUAAAAGUCGAUAUCGCAUGAUAUUGAUUUGAAAGGUGCAAUUGCAUCACUAAGAGAUGGACCUGCGUUGUAUUAGCUAGUUGGUGAGGUAACGGCUCACCAAGGCGACGAUACAUAGCCGACCUGAGAGGGUGAUCGGCCACACUGGGACUGAGACACGGCCCAGACUCCUACGGGAGGCAGCAGUAGGGAAUCUUCGGCAAUGGGGGCAACCCUGACCGAGCAACGCCGCGUGAGUGAAGAAGGUUUUCGGAUCGUAAAGCUCUGUUGUAAGAGAAGAACGAGUGUGAGAGUGGAAAGUUCACACUGUGACGGUAACUUACCAGAAAGGGACGGCUAACUACGUGCCAGCAGCCGCGGUAAUACGUAGGUCCCGAGCGUUAUCCGGAUUUAUUGGGCGUAAAGCGAGCGCAGGCGGUUAGAUAAGUCUGAAGUUAAAGGCUGUGGCUUAACCAUAGUACGCUUUGGAAACUGUUUAACUUGAGUGCAGAAGGGGAGAGUGGAAUUCCAUGUGUAGCGGUGAAACGCGUAGAUAUAUGGAGGAACACCGGUGGCGAAAGCGGCUCUCUGGUCUGUAACUGACGCUGAGGCUCGAAAGCGUGGGGAGCAAACAGGAUUAGAUACCUGU
This 780-nucleotide ribosomal RNA is filed under the name uncultured Streptococcaceae bacterium. RNAcentral's name for it is "bacterial SSU rRNA". It matches the Rfam family "Bacterial small subunit ribosomal RNA", at positions 26 to 790 of the family's 1533-position model. The record is from RNAcentral. Lineage: Bacteria; Bacillati; Bacillota; Bacilli; Lactobacillales; Streptococcaceae.